This 181-nucleotide ribosomal RNA is filed under the name Eranthemum tetragonum. RNAcentral's name for it is "5.8S ribosomal RNA". The stretch from base 1 to 152 matches the Rfam family "5.8S ribosomal RNA". Rfam says of the family: 5.8S ribosomal RNA (5.8S rRNA) is a component of the large subunit of the eukaryotic ribosome. Lineage: Eukaryota; Viridiplantae; Streptophyta; Magnoliopsida; Lamiales; Acanthaceae. The record is from RNAcentral.
CUCGGCAACGGAUAUCUCGGCUCUCGCAUCGAUGAAGAACGUAGCGAAAUGCGAUACUUGGUGUGAAUUGCAGAAUCCCGUGAACCAUCGAGUCUUUGAACGCAAGUUGCGCCCGAAGCCUUCGGGCCGAGGGCACGCCUGCCUGGGCGUCACGCAUCGCGUCACCCCCUCCCCCGCUCCG